CAUCACUGUUGCUGUGUGUGUGUGCGGGGGAGAUACUUAUUUCUUCAUCCGUAUUUACUCUCCCCGUCUUACUUCCAUCCCCUUACAAUAGAAGAAAUCAAGUACGUAUUUUGGCUCAGAUUCUUUAUUUUUCAUUUCCACGCAAGAUAAUACUUAUAGAAGCCCAUCCAUUUCCUUCUUUGCAGCUCAUUCCACUUUUCUCCCCAGAGCGAGGGAGGGGUGAAUGAGUCCCACUGUCGAUGGGGAGAAGGGUUUAUUCUGACGUUUAGUCUCACGGACCGGACGAGCUUCAACGCCAUUCCAGAUAUCCAUGCCUCCGUUGCCGCUGCUCGCCAGACGCCCAAUUUUUCGUGUGUCAUUGUCGCUAAUAAAAUUGAUUUGGGUCACCUGGCGGAGGUGCGCGAAGAGGAGGCGCUCGAGCUGGCGGGCGAACUUGGGGCGUCGCUCUUCCUCACUUCAGCGUGCGACGGAGGGCCCGCUAUCCACGCCGCCUUCUCAGAGCUGUAUCGCGAUGUCGUGCGGCGUCGUUGGUCCAGAAGACGUCGAUCCUCGGCCAAGACUGUCAUCGAGGGCUUCUACAAGAUGUUCUCGAGGUGAUACCGCACGGACAGUUCAGCCUGCACAUUAGGUCAUUCACAUCAGUGACUCACGAAACUAUCAUGCAUGGUUGCACAUAAUAUAGGUCCCAGGAUAUAAUAUUCAUGUACAAGUUCUCGCACGAUUAUAUCUGUCACAACUAGCGACACACGUGACGAUGUGUCACCUCCGUCAAGGACAGAAAACGAGAUCUUAUCCUUGAAACUACGGCGUCGUAUUGCGCAGAACCACCUUAUCCCUGCAAGCCCUUGUGAAGCACGAACAUUCACGUCGCUGUAGGAAGACGGCAUUACCAACUAAGACUUCAUGAUGUCACCACUCCGGUCCGUCUACAGAGAAACAGUGAUUGGAAACAGGCUCCAAAUGUGUUGUCACUAAUUUUUUUUAAUAUACUUUGCAAACAAUUAUUGUUAUUUGAACUAGUGAGGUCAAAACACAUACUGUCUUUAAAAAAUAUAUAAUGAAAGUUCAUAAUUUUGUUUCUAAUAUUAAUUCCUUAUUCUGGGAAUAUCAUUUAUGUAAUUACCAUAUACCAUAAAGUUAGUUGACCAAUUAAAUAAUCUCAUAUCAUUUUGUAGUAAGUGAAUGGCUUCCUAGUACAUGUAAAUCAGUUAAAAAGUGUGUUAACAAACUGAAAGAAAAGUUUGCCCAUGAUUUAAAAUUUGUAUGCAUUUAUCAUUUCUUCCAAGUAAGUUGCAUAUCAAGUGAGUUAACUUCCUAAAUAAGUAGACAUUACUUUGCAGGGUUAGUGAUUAAUAAAAAAAAAAAAACAUUCGUAUAUAGAAUAUUUCCAAACAGUCAGUUAUAACAAAGCAGGUGUUAAUUUGCCAUGACAUGGACUUAAAAUAAACCAAAUAGAUUUAGUGCCUACUAUAUUACAUCUACAAUCAUUUUCUUAAUUUUACUUGCAUUUCUUCCUGCUGGACCUUCUUUAGCAAUCUUAAUUUAACAACUUUUUUAUUUAUCUAUUUAUUUAUCUAUUAUUAUUAUUAUUUUGCUUCUGAAAUCACAAUAACUGCUGUUAUUCCUUUUGAUUGUAUACAGGUAUAUACCUGUUCUAUUGCACUACUCCUUGAUUAGUUAACAUUCUACAUUAGUAAUGUUUCCCCAGACAACUAGCUAUAGUCUGGAGUACCUGAUGAUUGGAUGUUUUGACAGACAACAGAUUGUACCACAUAUUACAUAUCUGAUGUAUAACAUUGCAAAUGACUGUCUAUUAACAGGUUGUUUGUAGAACAGGCUGUUUCCUGUUCAUUUUAUUGCAGCAAAAUAUAUUUUCUGUUAAAUGGAAUAAAGCAAUACCACAGUGAUAGCCUUUUAACUUUCCUCCCUCAUAUAAAUUCAAAUCCACUCAGUCUAAGUGCUACUCUCCCUAGGUAUUUUUUACAAUUAAGCGGAUUUGAAUCCAUGUUGGGAGCAAAGUUGUACAUAAUUCCUAAUUACAUGUUCUUUUACAUGAAUAUUACAUCAAACUGUUUAAUAACUAAAUUAUGUCAGAUCUCAUUCUCUAUUUGGUAAAUGUAAUGUCAGACUGCAUUCAUUAAUUAGUUGAUCCUGCAUAUGUUGAGGAAUGGAGGGUAUCAAAACAUUUCAUAUUCCCAUGUUUAUUGAGAUGUUGAAUGUCUUACUAGAAUGUAGUCUUUCUUGGUGAAUGUCUUACUAGACUGUCCCUGAGUAAUGUAUGUCACAAUACACUACAAGGCUGGUUCCUGAGUAUCACAUCAAACUGUCCCUGAGAGAUAGAUGUCAGGAAUGUAAAACAAUGGUUGCUAAACCACAUGACAAAAACAUGAUUUAAGAAAAAACAUAUACCUAAGAAUAAGCUCCUGACCAUGUUCCUGCUAGUUGCUACCCUAGUUUUGUAUACCUAUGGAAUCUGUUGAGCAUGUUUGAUGUUUAUUGUGGCACCACUGCUUCUAGUCUGUAGAUGAAAUGCUAAGCUGAAAAAAAUGCAGCAUGAUAUAUAACAUUUUGUGGAAUUAGUUUUCCUACUGCAAAUAGUUGAACUUAUCUUUCAGUGAUGAUAUAGAUAAAGGUAAUUUCUAAAUAUACAGUAAUGAAUGCUUCCACAUACAUAAAAUCACAUUCAGUAUUUCAAAUCUAUUUAUAGACUGUGUGUUUUGAAUGUGUAUAUAUGAAUGCCUGUGUGUAUGCAUGCCCAUGUAUGUAAGAUGUGCAUGCCUUUCUGUGAAUGUGUUUGUAUAUGCAGGUUCAUGCAACUCUGUGAAGAAUAUAAUAUUGACAGAAUAGUACUGUAAUAAAGUAAUAAAAGCUUC
This is a non-coding RNA of Penaeus vannamei (Pacific white shrimp), 2873 nucleotides long. Lineage: Eukaryota; Metazoa; Arthropoda; Malacostraca; Decapoda; Penaeidae. The record is from RefSeq and is a predicted model, not a curated record.